AGGUGCCUCCAUUGUCACAUGGGUCACUCGCACACUCAUCAAUGUCCACUUCACAGUGGUCUCCUUUGGAAAUUAACAGGUUUAGUCUUGGAAGAACAACUGAAGCUGUCAAGAGAGGCAGGCUCAUCUCCCAUCCUGCCUGUUCCCAGUUGGGUACGAAAUGCUUCCCGUAUAGUGGCCUCACUUGGCCAAGCCUCACUGGGCGAGACAGCAUAAUCAGCAGUACAUGUUGUCAACCUGCUGUAAAAUGCAGACUCGCUGGUUGCUCCAGAAGCAUCUGUUUCAAACCCAGCAGGACAUGGCACACAUUCUGUCUGUCCUGUCUCUGGCUGGUAGGUGUCUUCAGGACAGAUGUUACAAGGUACCACACCAGUAGAAGAGUUACUUAAGCUUCCAGCAGGACACACAACUGUGAGACCAACCAAAAUACAGAUGGAUUUCUCACAGUAUCUGCUGCAGUGUACUGGGAACACAAAUUGAGAUCUCAUCAACACAGACUACUACACAAAGCUUUCACCAUCACUAAGUGUGGAGGACCAUUCACAUUGGUAUCUGGUCAUGAACAAUCAUUAUGCUUUAUCACCCUUCUAGAUUUUUCACUAGUUUUGAUUUUAAAAGUCUUGUUAUCUAAAUUCUUUUUCAAAGCAUUUUAUCUGUCCUUGGUGCUGAAAAUGUGAUUAGUGUGUUGGAUUUCAACUUAGAUAUCUUAAAUUACAAGCAAUAGUUGGUGCCACUGUAAUGCCUUAAAGUGAUCACAUAAAUAUAGCUAAACUGGGUCGCUUUAGCCAUCUACCAUAACACAAAUAUACAAGUG
This is a long non-coding RNA of Branchiostoma floridae (Florida lancelet), 814 nucleotides long. RefSeq lists it as uncharacterized. Lineage: Eukaryota; Metazoa; Chordata; Leptocardii; Amphioxiformes; Branchiostomatidae. The transcript has 4 exons. The record is from RefSeq and is a predicted model, not a curated record.